Molecule: ribosomal RNA, 207 nt
Filed under: uncultured bacterium
Lineage: Bacteria
Description: partial 16S ribosomal RNA
Rfam family: Bacterial small subunit ribosomal RNA
Source: RNAcentral
CGCGUAGGCGGCCUGCUAAGUCUGGAGUGAAAGUCCUGCUUUCAAGGUGGGAAUUGCCUUGGAUACUGGUGGGCUGGAGUGCAGGAGAGGAAAGCGGAAUUACCGGUGUAGCGGUGAAAUGCGUAGAGAUCGGUAGGAACACCAGUGGCGAAGGCGGCUUUCUGGACUGAAACUGACGCUGAGGCGCGAAAGCGUGGGGAGCAAACA